CCUACGGGUGGCAGCAGUAGGGAAUCUUCCACAAUGGGCGAAAGCCUGAUGGAGCAACGCCGCGUGGGUGAAGAAGGUCUUCGGAUCGUAAAACCCUGUUGUUAGAGAAGAAAGUGCGUGAGAGUAACUGUUCACGUUUCGACGGUAUCUAACCAGAAAGCCACGGCUAACUACGUGCCAGCAGCCGCGGUAAUACGUAGGUGGCAAGCGUUAUCCGGAUUUAUUGGGCGUAAAGGGAACGCAGGCGGUCUUUUAAGUCUGAUGUGAAAGCCUUCGGCUUAACCGGGGUAGUGCAUUGGAAACUGGGAGACUUGAGUGCCGAAGAGGAGAGUGGAACUCCAUGGGUAGCGGUGAAAUGCGUAGAUAUAUGGAAGAACAGCAGUGGCGAAAGCGGCUUUCUGGUCUGUAACUGACGCUGAGGUUCGAAAGCGUGGGUAGCAAACAGGAUUAGAUACCCCAGUAGUC
Molecule: ribosomal RNA, 465 nt
Filed under: uncultured bacterium
Lineage: Bacteria
Description: partial 16S ribosomal RNA
Rfam family: Bacterial small subunit ribosomal RNA
Source: RNAcentral